This 424-nucleotide ribosomal RNA is filed under the name uncultured bacterium. RNAcentral describes it as "bacterial SSU rRNA". It matches the Rfam family "Bacterial small subunit ribosomal RNA", at positions 357 to 772 of the family's 1533-position model. The record is from RNAcentral.
GGGAAUAUUGGACAAUGGGCGAAAGCCUGAUCCAGCAACGCCGCGUGAGUGAUGAAGGCCUUCGGGUCGUAAAGCUCUGUCAGAGGGGAAGAACCGUCGCAAGGAUAAUACCCUUGCGGCCUGACGGUACCCUCAAAGGAAGCACCGGCUAACUCCGUGCCAGCAGCCGCGGUAAUACGGAGGGUCCAAGCGUUAUCCGGAAUCAUUGGGUUUAAAGGGUCCGCAGGCGGGCAAUUAAGUCAGGGGUGAAAUGGUGCGGCUCAACCGUAGCACUGCCUUUGAUACUGGUUGUCUUGAGUUAUGGUGAAGUGGCCGGAAUAUGUAGUGUAGCGGUGAAAUGCAUAGAUAUUACAUAGAACACCGAUUGCGAAGGCAGGUCACUAACCAUGGACUGACGCUGAUGGACGAAAGCGUGGGGAGCGAA